RNAcentral lists this ribosomal RNA (770 nucleotides) under uncultured bacterium. Its description in RNAcentral is "bacterial SSU rRNA". It matches the Rfam family "Bacterial small subunit ribosomal RNA", at positions 8 to 796 of the family's 1533-position model. The record is from RNAcentral.
AGAGUUUGAUCCUGGCUCAGGACGAACGCUGGCGGCGUGCUUAACACAUGCAAGUCGAGCGGAAAGGCCCUUCGGGGUACUCGAGCGGCGAACGGGUGAGUAACACGUGAGUAACCUGCCCUAGACUUUGGGAUAACCCUCGGAAACGGGGGCUAAUACCGGAUAUGACUUGGUUCCGCAUGGGACUUGGUGGAAAGUUUUUCGGUUUGGGAUGGACUCGCGGCCUAUCAGCUUGUUGGUGGGGUAAUGGCCUACCAAGGCGACGACGGGUAGCCGGCCUGAGAGGGCGACCGGCCACACUGGGACUGAGACACGGCCCAGACUCCUACGGGAGGCAGCAGUGGGGAAUAUUGCACAAUGGGCGGAAGCCUGAUGCAGCGACGCCGCGUGAGGGAUGACGGCCUUCGGGUUGUAAACCUCUUUCAGCAGGGACGAAGCGUGAGUGACGGUACCUGCAGAAGAAGCGCCGGCCAACUACGUGCCAGCAGCCGCGGUAAGACGUAGGGCGCGAGCGUUGUCCGGAUUUAUUUGGCGUAAAGAGCUCGUAGGCGGCUUGUCGCGUCGAAUGUGAAAACCCGAGGCUCAACUUCGGGCUUGCAUUCGAUACGGGCAGGCUAGAGUUCGGUAGGGGAGACUGGAAUUCCUGGUGUAGCGGUGAAAUGCGCAGAUAUCAGGAGGAACACCGGUGGCGAAGGCGGGUCUCUGGGCCGAUACUGACGCUGAGGAGCGAAAGCGUGGGGAGCGAACAGGAUUAGAUACCCUAGUAGUCC